Molecule: ribosomal RNA, 253 nt
Filed under: uncultured bacterium
Lineage: Bacteria
Description: partial 16S ribosomal RNA
Rfam family: Bacterial small subunit ribosomal RNA
Source: RNAcentral
UACGGGGGGGGCAAGCGUUGUUCGGAAUUACUGGGCGUAAAGGGCUCGUAGGCGGCCAACUAAGUCAGACGUGAAAUCCCUCGGCUUAACCGGGGAACUGCGUCUGAUACUGGAUGGCUAGAGGUUGGGAGAGGGAUGCGGAAUUCCAGGUGUAGCGGUGAAAUGCGUAGAUAUCUGGAGGAAUACCGGUGGCGAAGGCGGCAUCCUGGACCGGCAUUGACGCUGAUGAGCGAAAGCUAGGGGAGCAAACGGG